GACGAACGCUGGCGGCGUGCUUAACACAUGCAAGUCGAACGGAAAGGCCCUGCUUUUGUGGGGUGCUCGAUUGGCGAACGGGUGAGUAACACGUGAGUAACCUGCCCUUGACUUUGGGAUAACUUCAGGAAACUGGGGCUAAUACCGGAUAGGAGCUCCUGCUGCAUGGUGGGGGUUGGAAAGUUUCGGCGGUUGGGGAUGGACUCGCGGCUUAUCAGCUUGUUGGUGGGGUAGUGGCUUACCAAGGCUUUGACGGGUAGCCGGCCUGAGAGGGUGACCGGCCACAUUGGGACUGAGAUACGGCCCAGACUCCUACGGGAGGCAGCAGUGGGGAACAUUGCACAAUGGGCGGAAGCCUGAUGCAGCAACGCCGCGUGCGGGAUGACGGCCUUCGGGUUGUAAACCGCUUUCGCCUGUGACGAAGCGUGAGUGACGGUAAUGGGUAAAGAAGCACCGGCUAACUACGUG
This 468-nucleotide ribosomal RNA is filed under the name uncultured bacterium. RNAcentral's name for it is "partial 16S ribosomal RNA". It matches the Rfam family "Bacterial small subunit ribosomal RNA", at positions 28 to 507 of the family's 1533-position model. The record is from RNAcentral.